Molecule: long non-coding RNA, 756 nt
Filed under: Homo sapiens (human)
Lineage: Eukaryota; Metazoa; Chordata; Mammalia; Primates; Hominidae
Description: PREDICTED lncRNA (TCONS_00195792)
Source: RNAcentral
CGCCCACGUCAUGGCGCCUGAGGAGAACGCGGGUACCAAACUCUUGCUGCAGAGUUUCGAGCGCCGCUUCCUAGCGGCGCGCACACUGCGCUCCUUCCCCUGGCAGCUUAGAAGCAAAAUUAAGAGACUCAUCAGAUUCUGAGCUGCUGCGGGAUAUUUUGCAGAAGGUAAGAAUUCCAGAGUCCCUGGGACUCAUGACCCUGCCUCCUGAAUCUCUCCGGAAGACCUGAGAGAAGAACCACAGGUUCUUUAAAAACACCCCUGUUCAAAGAACAAAACCAUUGAGUCAGCACUGCAGGUAGGUGUCAGCACCUCCGACAGCUCCUGCGCUUUUGUUUUCUAUCUAAGACUUAGACAAAGACAUCAGAAUAUACAAAAAUCUGCAUGAGGGGGGAAAUCUAGGGAAUGUUUUUUAAACUAUCCUCAGCAAAAACAGAGAUGACAGGUGCAAAACAGCUUCUAGCAUUUGGUGGAUGCUCAGAGACUUUCUUUUUUGCAUUCCUGAGGCCUGUCCUGCCCACUCCUGUCUCCUCUAGACCUAAAUGGGCCCUUGCUUUGCCCAGGGUGGGGUUUGGACUCAAGUGCAUCUGCAUGCAGGUGACAGCCAGGAUCACCACCCGGCCCAGCCACAGCGUGACCUUGGCCUUGAGGGCCAAGUGCAGAUCACCCUGCAUCCUGGGUCUUCACCUUCGAAGGGCCAUGAGCCCUUCAGAAAAGACAAAGCAAUAGACUCCCUCCCAGAAAGAAGUGCACCAG